CAAACAUCUCCCACUUUUAGAGAAUUCUCCCUUGCAAAUGAACGCCAUCCAUCUGAGAUCAUAGCUUUAGCAGGAUACCUGAAUAAUUUCACAGACCAUCGCCUGUUUUCAACCUGUAACAUUACUUUGUUUGUGCCUUGCUUUGUACUUUUCGCAACAAGAUUUAGCGGUACAUACACUAAGGAAUUCUCCAGAUGGCAUGAAUUAAUGAUCACUUUGAAGAAGGGAUUCACAGAGGUAAAUUUCUUUGCAGCUUCGAUAGCUCCAAAAGCCUUUGAGCAUGAAUUUCCUGGAUUAAACUGCCUGCAGCAGCUACUUUCUUCAUCUUUCAAUUGCUUGCUGGUUCCUGCAUCAAGUGAUAGGCUGCUAUUUGCAUCUUUGAUGUGUCGGAAAAUGCCUACUUUGAAUCUAAUUGCAAUGCGAUUAAUCAGUUCAAAGACACAAACAUCACCAACUUCCAAGUGAUUUUCUUCUACAAAUUUCUUCCAACCAUGACGUAGUGUAGCUGAUGCUCUUCCAUUGCACAGAGUAUAACUGAAAUCAACAGACCAAGUUUCCCCAUCCUCUGUAAUGAGGGCGACAGACCCGCUAUUCUUGUUGAAAUAAUCCCUCAUAAAGCUUGCUGGUAUACGCAAUCUAUGAAGAUAUGAUGGUUGCAUUGCAAUCAUGAAGUAAGGAUUUCCAGAUUUAAAUUUAGUUCCUGCAUUAUGGAGUGCAUUAGCUUUUUCCUCAGCUGUCAAUGGUUGUUUCCUCCCUGCAACCCCAUCCAAGGACUUUUUCUCAUUAGACAUGCCUUCCUUGCUCCUCUUUGCUUCAGAUUGCCCAGUGGGCCAGUGUGAUUUUGUGUUUUCUGUGGGAUUCUCUAGCUUAAUCUUCUUAUGAGGCUGAGGGAAUGGUAAUGGUGAUUUCGCUUUUGUUUUUGGGGACCGCAAAGAGUAACCCAAUAUUUCAACACCAACAUCAUUUUCAGUUUCUUCAAUCUCUGGGUCUGGGCAUUCUUCCUCAAGAUUAGGCUCCUCAUCAUAUGCAUUGGUGAUGUUGAAUGGAUAGUCUAUCUCUGAGGCACUCUUGUCAAAUACGAAUACAUUGAAAUGACAGUUUUGCUCAAAUUCAAAAAUUAGGAAGUAUCCAAAAACUAAAGAGUAAUACUCCACAAAUUCCUGCCAGCCAUUUUCUAACCAAAUCUCACCAUUACACUUCGCAAGCUGUACCUGCCAUUUUGCACCACUAGGGACCUUCAGGAAUACAGGACUUGACAGUUCACUUCCAUAUCUCCUCACAAACCUUCUUGGAAUGCCAAGCUUCCUACUACGAAUGGUAUCAUCAAGAAUUAUCUU
This 1337-nucleotide unclassified non-coding RNA is filed under the name Hevea brasiliensis (rubber tree). The record is from RNAcentral. Lineage: Eukaryota; Viridiplantae; Streptophyta; Magnoliopsida; Malpighiales; Euphorbiaceae.